ACGCUUACAAAAAUUAAUUGUAAAGAGAGAUGCUUUUAAGAGAGGAGAAGACAUCUGGAAGGCCACUGAACUGCAAGGGGAAAAAAACAUCUAUAGCUGUAAAGAGUGCAAGUACAACUCAAAGUGCAGCUGAUGUUGCGAUGGGAGACAAACUCAAAAGAGACCUCCAGAACUUACAAAGGAAAAAAGCAGCACCUGUAACCUCUACUCCAGUGUCAGACGAUUCAGAUAACACUGACAUUGAUCCGUUUGAAAAUACAGAGCAGAGACCAUCAAGGAAAAGGAAGCAGCAUUUUAAUUUCAUAUGAAAUAAUUUUAACAGUUUUUUUGUUUGUUUUUUUUAAAUCAAUCUUGUAUUAAAAUUACUUCAGUCCUGAAAUGGUUUUAUUUACUGAUUUAUUUAUUUAUUUGUAUAAUUGCUCGAUCCGAAUCCUAUUUCAUAGUUUUCUGUAUGUUAAAGAAUAGCUGUUCAAAUUUACAGAAUGCUAGACACAUGCCCGUGUUUAUAAUGAGGAUGUCAUUGGCCACGCUGCCUAAGGUGAUGGGAUACAAAAAUAUUUAGCUGAAAAAAUUAGGCAUGGGCCGAUUACCGGUUUUAAGGUAUACCGCGAUAUGAAAAUUUCAUGAUUAUGAAACCACUAAUAUUUUCCAAUAUACCCAUUCCUGCGCUGUUUUCCAUGUCUCCUCAAAGACUGAAAGAGGAGGAGUCCCUCAGAGAGUAACACUGACCCCUCCUCCUCCUGUCGGUGCGAGCGAGCGGUCAGUCACAUGUGUGUAGGAUGACCGAACUUAAGGCCCGGGUACACUUCACAUUCAGCUUUUCUUUCCGUCUCACGGACAGCCGCGGAUGAACUCGACACAUGUGCAGUAAUGCCUUAUUUCAACUCUCUGUUCUGGUCUUGCACAAACUGUUGCAAUGUAAUCAUUUUCCAAAAUGUCAUUUAUGUGAAAAUAUGAAGUCUGUUAACGCCCGUUAACACAGACCAGAGACGCUGAAGACGGAUGCGCAGAGAAAAAUACUGCAGCAGGCAGAUCACUCAGUGUUCAUGAUGCACAAACUACUGGAAGAAAAUCCUCA
This is a long non-coding RNA of Cyprinus carpio carpio, 1078 nucleotides long. Lineage: Eukaryota; Metazoa; Chordata; Actinopteri; Cypriniformes; Cyprinidae. The record is from Ensembl.